GAUGAAGAACGUAGCGAAAUGCGAUAAGUAGUGUGAAUUGCAGAAUUCAGUGAAUCAUCGAAUCUUUGAACGCACAUUGCGCCUCCUGGUAUUCCGGGAGGCAUGCCUGUUCGAGCGUCAUUAAAAUCACUCAAGCUUAGGUUUACCUAUUGCUUGGUCUUGGAGAUGGAAGCCAAUUCAUUGGAAUCCUCUUCGAAAUCCAAUGGCGAAGACCCUUGCUCUCCCAAGUGUAGUAAUAACUUAUGUCACUGAAGGAAGCGAGAAAUCUUCCGCCGUAACCCCCAUAUUUUCUAUGAUUGACCUCGGAUCAGGUAGGGAUACCCGCUGAACUUAAGCAUAUCAAUAAGCGGAGGA
This 354-nucleotide unclassified non-coding RNA is filed under the name soil metagenome. Its description in RNAcentral is "partial contains 5.8S ribosomal RNA, internal transcribed spacer 2, and large subunit ribosomal RNA". The stretch from base 1 to 120 matches the Rfam family "5.8S ribosomal RNA", at positions 35 to 154 of the family's 154-position model. The record is from RNAcentral.